This 225-nucleotide unclassified non-coding RNA is filed under the name Mycobacteroides chelonae. RNAcentral describes it as "partial 16S-23S ribosomal RNA intergenic spacer". Lineage: Bacteria; Bacillati; Actinomycetota; Actinomycetes; Mycobacteriales; Mycobacteriaceae. The record is from RNAcentral.
AAGGAGCACCAUUUCCUAGCCGAAUGAGCUUGGGAACAUAAAGUGAGUUUCUGUAGUGGUUACUCGCUUGGUGAAUAUGUUUUAUAAAUCCUGUCCACCCCGUGGAUAGGUAGUCGGCAAAACGUCGGACUGUCAAUAGAAUUGAAACGCUGGCACACUGUUGGGUUCUGAGGCAACACAUUGUGUUGUCACCCUGCUUGGUGGUGGGGUGUGGUCUUUGACUUA